Molecule: ribosomal RNA, 795 nt
Filed under: uncultured bacterium
Lineage: Bacteria
Description: bacterial SSU rRNA
Rfam family: Bacterial small subunit ribosomal RNA
Source: RNAcentral
AGAGUUUGAUCCUGGCUCAGAUUGAACGCUGGCGGCGUGCCUAACACAUGCAAGUCGAGCGGUAACAGGUGUAGCAAUACAUGCUGACGAGCGGCGAACGGGUGAGUAAUGCUUCGGAAUCUACCUUAUGGUGGGGAAUAACUAGCCGAAAGGUUAGCUAAUACCGCAUACGUCCUACGGGAGAAAGCAGGGGAUCGUAAGACCUUGCGCCAAAAGAUGAGCCGAAGUCGGAUUAGCUAGUUGGUAGGGUAACGGCCUACCAAGGCGACGAUCCGUAGCUGGUCUGAGAGGACGACCAGCCACACUGGGACUGAGACACGGCCCAGACUCCUACGGGAGGCAGCAGUGGGGAAUAUUGGACAAUGGGGGAAACCCUGAUCCAGCGACGCCGCGUGUGUGAAGAAGGCCUGCGGGUUGUAAAGCACUUUUAGUGGGGAUGAAAUGUGCAGGGUUAAUACCUCUGCAUUUUGACCUAACCCACAGAAAAAGCACCGGCUAACUCUGUGCCAGCAGCCGCGGUAAUACAGAGGGUGCAAGCGUUAAUCGGAAUUACUGGGCGUAAAGCGUGCGUAGACGGUUACAUAAGUCGGGUGUGAAAGCCCCGGGCUCAACCUGGGAAUUGCAUUCGAGACUGCGUAGCUAGGGUGCGGAAGAGGGAAGCGGAAUUUCCGGUGUAGCGGUGAAAUGCGUAGAUAUCGGAAGGAACACCAGUGGCGAAAGCGGCUUCCUGGUCCAGCACCGACGUUCAGGCACGAAAGCGUGGGGAGCAAACAGGAUUAGAUACCCCAGUAGUCC